UUAGUAACGCGUGAGAAUCUAGCUUCAGGUCGGGGACAACCCCUGGAAACGGUGGCUAAUACCGGAUGUGCCGAAAGGUGAAAGAUUUAUUGCCUGAAGAUGAGCUCGCGUCUGAUUAGCUAGUUGGUGUGGUAAGAGCGCACCAAGGCGACGAUCAGUAGCUGGUCUGAGAGGAUGAUCAGCCACACUGGGACUGAGACACGGCCCAGACUCCUACGGGAGGCAGCAGUGGGGAAUUUUCCGCAAUGGGCGAAAGCCUGACGGAGCAAUACCGCGUGAGGGAGGAAGGCUCUUGGGUUGUAAACCUCUUUUCUCAGGGAAUAAAAAAAUGAAGGUACCUGAGGAAUAAGCAUCGGCUAACUCCGUGCCAGCAGCCGCGGUAAUACGGAGGAUGCAAGCGUUAUCCGGAAUGAUUGGGCGUAAAGCGUCCGCAGGUGGCACUGUAAGUCUGCUGUUAAAGAGCAAGGCUCAACCUUGUAAAGGCAGUGGAAACUACAGAGCUAGAGUACGUUCGGGGCAGAGGGAAUUCCUGGUGUAGCGGUGAAAUGCGUAGAGAUCAGGAAGAACACCGGUGGCGAAAGCGCUCUGCUAGGCCGUAACUGACACUGAGGGACGAAAGCUAGGGGAGCGAAUGGGAUUAGAUACCCCAGUAGUCCUAGCCGUAAACGAUGGGAUACUAGGCGUGGCUUGUAUCGACCCGAGCCGUGCCGGAGCCAACGCGUUAAGUAUCCCGCCUGGGGAGUACGCACGGCAAGUGUGAAACUCAAAGGAAUUGACGGGGGCCCGCACAAGCCGGUGGAGUAUGUUGUUUUAUUUCGAUGCAACGCGAAGAACCUUACC
Molecule: ribosomal RNA, 840 nt
Filed under: Nostoc oryzae BHU16
Lineage: Bacteria; Bacillati; Cyanobacteriota; Cyanophyceae; Nostocales; Nostocaceae
Description: bacterial SSU rRNA
Rfam family: Bacterial small subunit ribosomal RNA
Source: RNAcentral